GCAAAGAAAAGUGCUCAAGAAACUGGAGAAGGAAAUCCUACAGAGAAAGAAGCUGAUCUACAAUUCCCUCAGUGAUUCAAUCCGUGACACCAUGAAGCAAACAUAUCAAGAAUGCUCUGGCAUCACAGGAAAAGACUCUUUCAGAAAGAUUCAAGAGAAACUUAAAAGUGCAAUUGAGGAUUUCAAAAAGACCAUGUUCCAAAAUGCCAUGACGAAGAUGCUGGAAGAGUUCAGUGAUCUGCAGAAAUACCUUGUGGAUGAAAUUAAGACACAGAUGACAAACGCCUUGACGCUGGGUUUAAACCAGAUCCCUGAGGACCUGACUGGCCUCCCUGGUAACCAGUGGAAGCCACUC
This is a long non-coding RNA of Conger conger (European conger), 355 nucleotides long. RefSeq lists it as uncharacterized. The transcript has 3 exons. Lineage: Eukaryota; Metazoa; Chordata; Actinopteri; Anguilliformes; Congridae. The record is from RefSeq and is a predicted model, not a curated record.